Molecule: ribosomal RNA, 424 nt
Filed under: uncultured bacterium
Lineage: Bacteria
Description: bacterial SSU rRNA
Rfam family: Bacterial small subunit ribosomal RNA
Source: RNAcentral
UGAGGAAUAUUGGUCAAUGGGCGGGAGCCUGAACCAGCCAUCCCGCGUGCAGGAAGACGGCCCUAUGGGUUGUAAACUGCUUUUUCGCAUGAAGAACACCCCGGACGUGUCCGGGGCUGACGGUAAUGCGUGAAUAAGCACCGGCUAACUCCGUGCCAGCAGCCGCGGUAAUACGGAGGGUGCAAGCGUUAUCCGGAUUUAUUUGGUUUAAAGGGUGCGUAGGCGGUUAUACAAGACAGGCGUGAAAUCCCCGGGCUUAACCUGGGAAUGGCGCCUGUGACUGUAUAGCUAGAGUGUGUCAGAGGGGGGUAGAAUUCCACGUGUAGCAGUGAAAUGCGUAGAUAUGUGGAGGAACAUCAAUGGCGAAGGCAGCCCCCUGGGUCGACACUGACGCUCAUGCACGAAAGCGUGGGGAGCAAACAGG